UGAAGAGCAUGGUAACCUUUGAAGAU
RNAcentral lists this non-coding RNA (26 nucleotides) under Homo sapiens (human). The record is from RNAcentral. Lineage: Eukaryota; Metazoa; Chordata; Mammalia; Primates; Hominidae.